RNAcentral lists this ribosomal RNA (332 nucleotides) under uncultured bacterium. RNAcentral describes it as "bacterial SSU rRNA". It matches the Rfam family "Bacterial small subunit ribosomal RNA", at positions 568 to 898 of the family's 1533-position model. The record is from RNAcentral. RNAcentral also lists the same sequence under 1 other name.
UGCGUAGGUGGUCCGUUAAGUUCGUUGUGAAAGCCCUGGGCUCAACCCAGGAACUGCUUCGAAUACUGGCGGACUUGAGGCCGGUAUGGGUCACUGGAACUGACGGUGGAGCGGUGAAAUGCGUAGAUAUCGUCAGGAACGCCAAUGGUGAAGACAGGUGACUGGGCCGGAUCUGACACUGAGGCACGAAAGCGUGGGGAGCGAACGGGAUUAGAUACCCCGGUAGUCCACGCCCUAAACGAUGCAGACUAGACUGCAGCAGGUUACACCCUGUUGCGGUCGGAGCGAAAUUGUUAAGUCUGCCACCUGGGAAGUACGGUCGCAAGGCUAAA